Molecule: long non-coding RNA, 4479 nt
Filed under: Brassica napus (rape)
Lineage: Eukaryota; Viridiplantae; Streptophyta; Magnoliopsida; Brassicales; Brassicaceae
Description: long non-coding RNA (BNAP_LNC018416)
Source: RNAcentral
AGACAGCAAGGACGGAGUGUAUGGAUGGAUUUUCAGAUAACAAAGCACCGAGGCAGUAAGGUACAUGUUUAUUAUACUGUCUGUUGUAGUGGAUUACUCGAGAGAGUUAUCCAAUAAAUUUUUGUAAGUGUUGGAAACAACUGAGAGGUUUAUUUAAGUCAAUGGAUCCUGAUUCUGAAGUGAAGAAACGGGAAACAUUGACGAAGUGUAAUCCGAAGCGUAAGGAUAAUAAGCUGACUGAAGUUAGGAUUGAAUCAAGUGGCUCGAGGAAGCCAAGGAUGCUUCGGAAAAGUCUAAGUAAGACAAGGAACUGUCAAGUACAAUGAUGUCGGAUAUGAAGCCAAGGAGCUGAUGAGUUUAACUCUGUAUGGACAAGACGUCCAUAACUGAAUUUGGAAAUAAGACUUCAGCGGAAAGGUUCAAGGCAGAAUAGCCGAGUGGAUGAGCUGAAGGUUGUGAACGGAAACAGAGUUGGACAGGUGGUCCGAGGAUUGAGAUGGAAUCUCAAUGAACUGGCUAAUGCGAUAGAUGGAUUGCUGAGAGAUAACCUGAAAGAAUCAGGGAAUCGGAAAAACUGAAUUGGACAAGUCGUCCGUGGAAGAGCCUAAGGACUAAUGGCUAAGGCACUGAUGCUGGAAUGUGAAGUACAAAGACUUACAUUCGAAUGGAACGUCUGUUGAGAAUGCUUAGACGGAUUCAAAGAUUUUCAAGGUAAUGAACAAGCUGGCCCGGGAAAUUGAAACUGGAAGUUCCAUGGAAGGAUUCGGAAAAAUCUGCGUAAGACUUAUACAUAGCAAGUGGCAAGUGUAAGCAAGUCUGGAUAUAAAGAAAUGGACAAUGGAAUUGUCAAGACUGACUAAGCUUGAUUGUCUUAGUAGGUUUGUGCGGUCCGAGAGUUGGGAUCAUCGGAACAAGAGAUUGGAAGUCAGGUGUACUUGCCAAAGACUUGUUAAGUGAUCAAGAAACUACUUGGAGGUAUAAGAUGCUAUUGAUGAUGAGUUGUGGUCAGAGUUUCAAAAGUAGUAAAUGAUCGGUUCCUACCAGGAGCGUCUAGAUCAGACAAUGUACUUAGGGGCUGUGAUGCUUGCUAAGGCUUGCUGAAUUUUUGAUGAUGACUCGAAAAUUUGGGAUGAUCAUUUGAGUUUAGAUUAUUGAUUCCUUUCAUGUGAGAGUCUAGAUCAGUCUAGGUGCUUAUGGCUGAGAUGCUCAUUAAGACUUAGCUGGAUUGCUAGACGGCUGCUCGAUGACUUGGAAUGAUAAUGCUAGACUAGACUAAGUGUUUGAUCAACUGGACAAGUGGGAAUACUGAAACAUUAGUGUUAGUGGUGAUGAUAUGCCAUUAGAAACUGAAUGGGUUUGCUAAGGCAUAACUGUACAGAUACUGUCUGUUCUGGCAUCUAUGGAAACCGAGAGUUUCCAAGACGUGACUGUCUGUCAUCGCGUGUAUUGUCCUGACGUCUGUGGGAACCGGAGAGUUGCCAAGACGUAACUGUAAUCGCGUCGGUGGGAACUAGAUUAGUUCGCCAUCGCGUGUCUGUACUUUAGUCUGCGGAAACUCAAUCUGAUGUCUGUGGGAGAUGUACCUUCCAAGACAUAAUUGUGCUAUUACUGGAACUCAAGGAGUUCACUACUGUGGGUUUCUGAUCGUGAUGAAAGCAUGGAUGGGAAAUAUUGAGAGUUUGCCAUCACAUGUCUGUAGGACGUCUGUCUGUUUGGUAUGUCCUGUAUGUGCUGAUGUCUUUAGGAACAGUUGAGUUUCCAAGACAUAAAUGUGACUGAGUCAAUGGGAACAAGAUGAGUUUGUCAUUAUGGGAUUGUGAACCGGGAAGGACUGGGAGUCCGAAAGGGAAACUGUGCAAGGGAUCAAGUGUAGGAUCCGGUAAGAAAUGUCUGCAAGGAUCAAGAAUGAUCCGGAGGUGUCAAUAAAGAUCAGUAAAGAUAUGAGAAAAGCUGAUGUCGAUCAUAAGUGGUCGGGGACUGGUUAGGAUCAGGGAGGGAGUGAUCCGAGGAAAACAACUGUAAGGAUCAAGAUGAGAUCCAUGCGUUCUGAAAAGAUUAAGUUCCUAGUACUUGGAGUUAGGCCAUUCUAAGGAACACUAGAGUGCGAGAAUCAAACAGUCAAGUCAGGAUCAGACUGAGAGUGGUUGGAACUGAGUUCCGGAAGGACAAAAUCUGAGUCAAUAAGUGACUGUGAUCGGCUAAGGUUUAAGCUGGAAAACUUAGCUAAGAUAGUGAGUUAACACUUUGAGAAUUGAGGUAAACUGGUCAGCACUGUUGGGAGUCCAACAUUCUCACCAAGGUGCGUGUCCAAACACAAAGAGAGUGCUCGGAAGUAAGAACUACUAUGCCUACUGAGUUGGUGAACUGAACUGAGUCUGCUGAGAUUAAGUAUGUGGAAAGGCACUAAAUUGAGGAAAUCGAUAGCUGAAUUGAAUCCGUGAGUGGGAUUUUGACCCGAAAGUUUUGAGAACAGUAAUGGUCGAAUGACCGAAAGUAUGAGAACUAAGUUAAGGCAUGAGUGCCGUAUGUUGGAGCAAUUCUGAUUGGAUAGAACAAAGUUCUAUUAACUGCAGAAUUCGAGGACGAAUUCAUUCCAAGUGGGGGAGACUUGUAGCAUCCCCGUCCCGCAGUCUGAGCUGGAUCAGUCCAAGGUCGAGUGUUAGUUUGACUGAUCAGACGAACAAGGCAUGUGCAACAUGUCGUGUGGAUUGUAUUGGCCGGAUUAAGACUCUACUGUGGGUCUAGACAUAGUAGCUGAGCUUGACGGACUAAGCUGGUCGGAUUCAGACAAGGUAGUUGGACUUGUCUCUCGAGAGUAGUUAGUCGGCCAAAGGACUGAUUAAUAUACGUUAUGGUGGGAACGGAUACAGAGCUAAACAUGAACUGAUUAACCAAGGAAAAUGGCGGGAACAGUAUCUGGCAGUUACCGAGAGCGGUUACCGAGAGCGGUUACUAAGUGGUUACCGGAGCAGUUAAUAAGCAGUUAGCGAAGCAGUUAUAGGGCGGUUCUGAGUGGUUGCCAGACCACUUAACUGACUGGGACGGGAACUGCUAAGGUAGUUACGGAACCGAGACAGAAACUGCUCGAGGGCAGUUUAUGAAUUAAAUGGGCGCGGGAGCGGUUAUGUGGGGAAGGAAAACCGCCCAUCUGUUUCCUUUAAGGGGGAGAUCGCGGACAUCUGUCCGGGACACGAUUUUCUGGAGAGAAAUACCGAGAGAGGGGGGAAUCAAAUCGAGAGAGACAGAGAUCGCCGUGAAAGGACCGGUCGGAUCUGGUUCCGGCAGCCCGCGUCCGAGCAACGGUACGUGUUGGGUUUACUGGUGCGUACGGCGGUUAGAAGCAAGCCGCGUACUGAGAAAAGGAUAUCGCGAUAGUUCGUGAUGUAUACAAGGGUAUGUACGGUGGUUACGAACAGCGAAUCCGUGCACAAACCGAGAGAGUGGGACGAUCGGCUUGGUCUGUACGACGGGAGCCGUGUACCGGGUGCGCGCAUGGUGCUGACUGGGUUGAUGGAUCGACAAGGCGCGGGCGGUUACGAUCGAUAUAUAUGAGACUGGGAUCUAACGCUUGAGACGACAUUCAACGUACUGAAGGGAGCAAGCGAUGGACUGUCCUGUGGAUUCUGGUAGGGCUACGAGCAGUACUGGUAGCGUACGGGAACGCGAGUAUGUGUCUGGAUACGACGGUUAUGCUGUCGGACCGUGCUGUGAAUGGAUGUGGAACGUGAUACUGGCGGUUAGGGCUCAGAUCGAGUCUUAAGGUUCUGUACCGGCUAUGGUAUAGGCCGAAACUUUAUUGUUUGGUGUUGACUUAACCGAGACUUGUACUGGAUUGGAUAGUGUACUGAUGUACACGACAUCACGGGAGCGUGAUACUGGAACUGGAUGGUUUGAGGGCAGGAUGGCCGUGAGGAGAACUGACUGGAUCGAGGGCUGUGGAGCCGACCGUGUACUGACUGAUCCGGGUGUGAUCAGGGACUAGUUCUGGGGCGCUAAGCAUGGCUAGCGUACUGUCUGUUCUGGAUGGCUGGUUGGAGACCAAGCCGUCUCUCCUUGUUACUUGGGUCACGUGGGGAUGGUUGGCUGAGUGACUAAGGAACAAGGAGAUUCGGUUAAGUAUCCGAUCGAGCUAGCUGGAUAAGAUGAAUGGGAAGCAGGAAGACAGCAAGGGCGGAGUGUAUGGAUGGAUUUUUAGAUAACAAAGCACCGAGGGAGUAAGGUACAUGUUUAUUAUACUGUCUGUUGUAUUGAUUCGCUAGGAUGCUGGAUAUACUUAGCGAACACUCGGAUCUGAACUGAACCUCUUAGAGGAAAGCUGAUUAAAAACCGUAAGUAAAGCGGAUAUUUCAUAAAGGGCUAGUUUGGGUCGGGGCAAGCGAACUAAGGACGAACCGGCGGUAAGGGUAGCCGGGUCGGGCCUUACACAAUCUCAAUGUCCUAUCUUCAGGAUGUCUAAGGUUGUUCCUCAGUUAGUAGUUG